Molecule: long non-coding RNA, 996 nt
Filed under: Salmo salar (Atlantic salmon)
Lineage: Eukaryota; Metazoa; Chordata; Actinopteri; Salmoniformes; Salmonidae
Description: lncRNA (ENSSSAG00000095091.1)
Source: RNAcentral
AUUUUUCAGUUUUUUAUUUGUUAAAAAAGUUUGAAAUAUCCAAUACAUUUCGUUCCACUUCAUGAUUGUGUCCCACUUGUUGUUGAUUCUUCACAAAAAUUACAGUUUUAUAUCUUUAUGUUUGAAGCCUGAAAUGUGGCAAAAGGUCGAAAAGUUCAAGGGGGCUGAAUACUUUCGCAAGGCACUGUAUAUAGACAGACCACAACACAGAGUUGCAAUUUUCCAAUAAUGGAUGGACCAGGAAACGAACAGGGUCAACAGCCAAGAGGAGGAAGAAGAGGAGCAAGGAUGCAUGGUGGAAGGCAAAACAGAGGAAGAGGCAGAAGAGGACAUAGGCGCAUAUCUAAUGACAUAAGGGCCACUAUUGUAGACAAUGGUGUCAAUCAUGGCCUUACAAUGGCUGAGGCGGGUCGAAGGGUGCAGCCGAAUAUUGGGAGAUCAACCGUGUCCUCAAUAGUUCAAACGUUUCGAAGAGAGAACAGGACUGCAAGAUUACCUCAAACCGGUGGCAGAGGACGCCUUUUCACACCUCAACAGGAGGAGGCUAUUUACACCAUGGUCCGAGCAAACAAUGCCAUGAGACUCAGGGAAAUACAAAGGACCAUUAUAGAAGACAACGAUGUCUUUGAAAACAUCCAUACGGUUAGCAUCUCAACCAUCGACAGGGUGCUGCAUAGAAACCAGAUGAGUAUGAAACAGCUGUACCGUGUACCAUUCCAAAGGAAUGAGGACAGAGUUAAGGAGCUACGGUACCAGUAUGUACAGGUAAAACAUAUAUCUAUGUAACUACUUUACAGCAACAUUUUAUAGUGAUACAUAGUACAGUAAGCAUAAACUGCACACAUUUCCAUUGCUGUGGAAAGAACAUGCAAUAUAUACUGCUCAAAAAAAUAAAGGGAACACUUAAACAACACAUCCUAGAUCUGAAUGAAAGAAAUAAUCUUAUUAAAUACUUUUUUCUUUACAUAGUUGAAUGUGCUGACAACAAAAUCACAC